AGAUUGAACGCUGGCGGCAGGCCUAACACAUGCAAGUCGAGCGGUAGCACAGAGAGCUUGCUCUCGGGUGACGAGCGGCGGACGGGUGAGUAAUGUCUGGGAAACUGCCUGAUGGAGGGGGAUAACUACUGGAAACGGUAGCUAAUACCGCAUAACGUCGCAAGACCAAAGAGGGGGACCUUCGGGCCUCUUGCCAUCAGAUGUGCCCAGAUGGGAUUAGCUAGUAGGUGGGGUAACGGCUCACCUAGGCGACGAUCCCUAGCUGGUCUGAGAGGAUGACCAGCCACACUGGAACUGAGACACGGUCCAGACUCCUACGGGAGGCAGCAGUGGGGAAUAUUGCACAAUGGGCGCAAGCCUGAUGCAGCCAUGCCGCGUGUAUGAAGAAGGCCUUCGGGUUGUAAAGUACUUUCAGCGAGGAGGAAGGCAUUGUGGUUAAUAACCGCAGUGAUUGACGUUACUCGCAGAAGAAGCACCGGCUAACUCCGUGCCAGCAGCCGCGGUAAUACGGAGGGUGCAAGCGUUAAUCGGAAUUACUGGGCGUAAAGCGCACGCAGGCGGUCUGUCAAGUCGGAUGUGAAAUCCCCGGGCUCAACCUGGGAACUGCAUUCGAAACUGGCAGGCUAGAGUCUUGUAGAGGGGGGUAGAAUUCCAGGUGUAGCGGUGAAAUGCGUAGAGAUCUGGAGGAAUACCGGUGGCGAAGGCGGCCCCCUGGACAAAGACUGACGCUCAGGUGCGAAAGCGUGGGGAGCAAACAGGAUUAGAUACCCUGGUAGUCCACGCCGUAAACGAUGUCGACUUGGAGGUUGUUCCCUUGAGGAGUGGCUUCCGGAGCUAACGCGUUAAGUCGACCCCUGGGGAGUACGCCGCAAGGUUAAAACUCAAAUGAAUUGACGGGGGCCCGCACAAGCGGUGGAGCAUGUGGUUUAAUUCGAUGCAACGCGAAGAACCUUACCUACUCUUGACAUCCACGGAAUUUAGCAGAGAUGCUUUAGUGCCUUCGGGAACCGUGAGACAGGUGCUGCAUGGCUGUCGUCAGCUCGUGUUGUGAAAUGUUGGGUUAAGUCCCGCAACGAGCGCAACCCUUAUCCUUUGUUGCCAGCGGUUCGGCCGGGAACUCAAAGGAGACUGCCAGUGAUAAACUGGAGGAAGGUGGGGAUGACGUCAAGUCAUCAUGGCCCUUACGAGUAGGGCUACACACGUGCUACAAUGGCGCAUACAAAGAGAAGCGACCUCGCGAGAGCAAGCGGACCUCAUAAAGUGCGUCGUAGUCCGGAUUGGAGUCUGCAACUCGACUCCAUGAAGUCGGAAUCGCUAGUAAUCGUAGAUCAGAAUGCUACGGUGAAUACGUUCCCGGGCCUUGUACACACCGCCCGUCACACCAUGGGAGUGGGUUGCAAAAGAAGUAGGUAGCUUAACCUUCGGGAGGGCGCUUACCACUUUGUGAUUCAUGACUGGGGUGAAGUCGUAACAAGGU
RNAcentral lists this ribosomal RNA (1477 nucleotides) under uncultured soil bacterium. Its description in RNAcentral is "bacterial SSU rRNA". It matches the Rfam family "Bacterial small subunit ribosomal RNA". The record is from RNAcentral.